GGCGGAUGUAGCCAAAGGGG
RNAcentral lists this transfer RNA (20 nucleotides) under Acacia dealbata subsp. dealbata. RNAcentral describes it as "partial tRNA-His". The record is from RNAcentral. Lineage: Eukaryota; Viridiplantae; Streptophyta; Magnoliopsida; Fabales; Fabaceae.